This 445-nucleotide ribosomal RNA is filed under the name uncultured bacterium. RNAcentral's name for it is "partial 16S ribosomal RNA". It matches the Rfam family "Bacterial small subunit ribosomal RNA", at positions 354 to 796 of the family's 1533-position model. The record is from RNAcentral.
GUGAGGAAUAUUGGUCAAUGGACGAGAGUCUGAACCAGCCAAGUCGCGUGAAGGAAGACGGUUCUAUGAAUUGUAAACUUCUUUUGUGCAGGAAUAAAGUGGGUUACGUGUAACCUUUUGUAUGUACUGUACGAAUAAGGAUCGGCUAACUCCGUGCCAGCAGCCGCGGUAAUACGGAGGAUCCGAGCGUUAUCCGGAUUUAUUGGGUUUAAAGGGUGCGUAGGUGGAUUGAUAAGUCAGCGGUGAAAGUUUGCAGCUUAACUGUAAAAUUGCCGUUGAAACUGUCGGGCUUGAGUGCAAAUGAGGUAGGCGGAAUGUGUUGUGUAGCGGUGAAAUGCUUAGAUAUAACACAGAACUCCGAUUGCGAAGGCAGCUUACUGGGAUGCAACUGACACUGAUGCACGAAAGCGUGGGUAUCAAACAGGAUUAGAAACCCGGGUAGUCC